This 368-nucleotide ribosomal RNA is filed under the name uncultured organism. Its description in RNAcentral is "bacterial LSU rRNA". It matches the Rfam family "Bacterial large subunit ribosomal RNA", at positions 2099 to 2465 of the family's 2925-position model. The record is from RNAcentral.
CUUUACUGUAGCUUUGCAUUGGACUUUGACGGGACUUGUGUAGGAUAGGUGGGAGGCAUUGAGACCGGGACGCUAGUUCUGGUGGAGCCGACCUUGAAAUACCACCCUGGUGUCGUUGAGGUUCUAACCCAGGUCUGUGAAUCCAGAUCGGGGACCGUGCAUGGUGGGCAGUUUGACUGGGGCGGUCUCCUCCCAAAAGGUAACGGAGGAGUACGAAGGUCUUCUAGGUACGGUCGGACAUCGUACUGAUAGUGCAAUGGCAAAAGAAGGCUUGACUGCGAGACCGACAAGUCGAGCAGGUGCGAAAGCAGGUCAUAGUGAUCCGGUGGUUCUGUAUGGAAGGGCCAUCGCUCAACGGAUAAAAGGUA